UCAGGACGAACGCUGGCGGCGUGCUUAACACAUGCAAGUCGAGCGGAAAGGCCCUUCGGGGUACUCGAGCGGCGAACGGGUGAGUAACACGUGAGUAACCUGCCCUUGGCUCUGGGAUAAGCCCGAGAAAUUGGGUCUAAUACCGGAUAUGACUACCGGCCGCAUGGCUGGUGGUGGAAAGUUUUUCGGCUGGGGAUGGACUCGCGGUCUAUCAGCUUGUUGGUGGGGUGAUGGCCUACCAAGGCGACGACGGAUAGCCGGCCUGAGAGGGUGACCGGCCACACUGGGACUGAGACACGGCCCAGACUCCUACGGGAGGCAGCAGUGGGGAAUAUUGCGCAAUGGGCGAAAGCCUGACGCAGCGACGCCGCGUGGGGGAUGAAGGCCUUCGGGUUGUAAACCUCUUUCACCACCGACGAAGCUAACGUGACGGUAGGUGGGGAAGAAGCGCCGGCUAACUACGUGCCAGCAGCCGCGGUAAUACGUAGGGCGCAAGCGUUGUCCGGAAUUAUUGGGCGUAAAGAGCUCGUAGGCGGUCUGUCGCGUCUGCCGUGAAAACCCGAGGCUUAACCUCGUGGCUUGCGGUGGAUACGGGCAGACUAGAGGUAGGUAGGGGAGAAUGGAAUUCCCGGUGUAGCGGUGAAAUGCGCAGAUAUCGGGAGGAACACCGGUGGCGAAGGCGGUUCUCUGGGCCUUACCUGAC
This 703-nucleotide ribosomal RNA is filed under the name Actinoallomurus sp. L2142. RNAcentral describes it as "bacterial SSU rRNA". It matches the Rfam family "Bacterial small subunit ribosomal RNA", at positions 24 to 744 of the family's 1533-position model. The record is from RNAcentral. Lineage: Bacteria; Bacillati; Actinomycetota; Actinomycetes; Streptosporangiales; Thermomonosporaceae.